Brassica napus (rape) is the source of this 1437-nucleotide long non-coding RNA. RefSeq lists it as uncharacterized. NCBI's taxonomy places the organism in Eukaryota, Viridiplantae, Streptophyta, Magnoliopsida, Brassicales, Brassicaceae. The transcript is spliced from 7 exons. The record is from RefSeq and is a predicted model, not a curated record.
UAAUGGGCUUAGGUUUGUACUGUAUUUUCGGCCCAUAAUCCUAAUCUGAUAAGGCGGAAAAGUGUAUCCUUCUCUCCUCUGCCUGCGACGGCUAUGGUGACGCUAGAGUUUCUUCACCGUUAUUGAAGUAGUUUUCGUUAUGGUUUCUUGGUGUUUAAUCCCAAAUCUGAUGCCCACUAUAUUUAUACCCCCUCGAGUUUGCGUCGUUGAAGCUCUGUCGAUUUGGGUGUAAAUAUGUUCGUAUUUCUCUUCUAGAAAUUAUCCUCUCCUCAUCACUCUUCUCUUAUCUCUUUAGAGUAUACUAAUUCACUGUUUAAUGGCUUCCUCGAGGGUGGUCUUCUCCAAUUUGAAGUCCGGCCCACAGAAUAGAAAGCAUAAACUUUACCAGAUCCAAACUGUAAAACGGCUGCACAACGAGUGGAUAGAGAAUACAGAUCGAUGGGCCACUGGAUUUCUGGAAAUAUUUGAAGAAGGUUUCAUAAGAAGGGGACUGCAAUCAGAGGGGGUAUUCAAGAGAGGUAAUCAGAAAAUUCCCAGAAACAAACUGGAGAAUGGGAUAAGUAUGAAGAUGAACGACACUAUGCAAGGAUAAAUAUGUUGAAGAAGAGGAAGAGAAAACUGUUAAGACGGAUGCAAAAGACAACAAGAUCAUUUCACUCAUGACAUGGAAAGGAAGUGAAAAAGGCAUUGUGCAUGAUAACGAUGAUGCAAUAAGUCGAGAAAAUCACAAGGUCUUGAAGAACAAAAUAGGAGGUCAACCUCUAUUCAUAUGUCACGGUUAGAUCAAGUGGGGAUGACCUAGACGCCAUGGCUGAGUCAUUGCCCAGGGUUAACUAGAAGGGUGGUCGGGUCAGUUACAUGAUCAAGCCAAGGUUCAUGAGCUUCAAGCCAUGUUUGCAGGGGAAGAAACAUAUAUAACCCACUACUCUACAAUUCUUGGUGCUUAGUUUAGUUGUUUCAAGGAAGCCAAUAGGCUUCUCAAGCAUUAAAAAGUGAUCCUUGAGUGUUUGUUUUAAGGAAGCAUAUAAGAGAAGUGUAGAACAGUUGGUGAAGCAAUAGAAUGGGUUUAGGUCUACAAGAGGAGGAGAUUCGCAUAUGGGCUGCUCGGGUUGUAAAAUUUCCAGUGGAGGAGGAAUGUGAGGUUUUGGAUACAUGAGCAACACAGAGGAAUUGGUUAUAGCUUGGAGACUUGACAUAUAUAUAUAUCUACAUUUAUAGACAUGUGAAUAUUGUGGAGUGACUUUUCUACAGAAGUUUAUUAGAUUCCUAUAAUUUUCACAUUGAGCUUCUGUGCUUUUUGUUUAGUCUUUGUCCCAAUUAGUAAUUUGUUAUCAGUCCUUUUUUUCUUUGCUGUAAAGUGACAGACAAUAUGGAACCAAAACAAGAAAGAAAGAGAUUUGUGUCCCUUUUGAAUAUAUAAACACUUUGUAAUUUCAA